Long non-coding RNA from Homo sapiens (human), 567 nucleotides. Ensembl annotates it as SCN1A and SCN9A antisense RNA 1. Its record names the gene SCN1A-AS1. NCBI's taxonomy places the organism in Eukaryota, Metazoa, Chordata, Mammalia, Primates, Hominidae. The record is from Ensembl.
GAUGUCCACAGUGCUACCUUCUGAUGAGCUACUGCUUUCAUUCAGUUUCUAUCCGAUUCACUACUAAAGUCUUCCGUGUUUAAAUUUUCAAAGUCAGAUUCUCCUACAGCAAUUGAGGAGAAGCUCCAAGCUCCUGAAGAAUCCAGGAUCCAUGAAUGUGAAUGAAAUUCCUUCCAAAAAUUAGACUUAUUUGAGAUCAAUUGGCAGUGGGCAGACAAAACAUUAAAGAAGCAACAUAAUAGAGACCUCACAUCCUCAACAGAGUUUGAGAAGCACUGCUCCAAGUCUCACCUCUGCCUGCAUUCCCUCUAUCAUCUUUGAAGGAGUAUGAGUCCAGAAAACAGAUAGAGCUUUACCACAAAGCGCAUUUGAAGGAAGGGAGAAUUUCACCUGUGCUUACUAGAAGAACAAUCCCCUAUGCCAACAAUACUUAGCCCUCUUUUUCUCUGAUUCAUUGAGGGAUUCUGUCCCUGAAUGACAUUGUGAGAUCAUCGUAAAUCUGAACAGACUUGUGCAAUGCAAAUGCCUUUGCUGUGGGGGAAUAUGAGCAUGUAACGACACAGAAAG